This 857-nucleotide ribosomal RNA is filed under the name uncultured bacterium. RNAcentral describes it as "SSU rRNA". It matches the Rfam family "Bacterial small subunit ribosomal RNA", at positions 524 to 1381 of the family's 1533-position model. The record is from RNAcentral.
UACGGGAGUGGCAAGCGUUAUCCGGAAUUAUUGGGCGUAAAGCGUCCGCAGGCGGCCUUUUAAGUCUGUUGUUAAAGCGUGGAGCUUAACUCCAUUUGAGCAAUGGAAACUGGAAGGCUUGAGUGUGGUAGGGGCAGAGGGAAUCCCCGGUGUAGCGGUGAAAUGCGUAGAUAUCGGGAAGAACACCAGUGGCGAAGGCGCUCUGCUGGGCCAUAACUGACGCUCAUGGACGAAAGCCAGGGGAGCGAAAGGGAUUAGAUACCCCUGUAGUCCUGGCCGUAAACGAUGAACACUAGGUGUCGGGGGAAUCGACCCCCUCGGUGUCGUAGCCAACGCGUUAAGUGUUCCGCCUGGGGAGUACGCACGCAAGUGUGAAACUCAAAGGAAUUGACGGGGGCCCGCACAAGCGGUGGAGUAUGUGGUUUAAUUCGAUGCAACGCGAAGAACCUUACCAGGGUUUGACAUCCUGCGAAUCCCUUGGAAACGAGGGAGUGCCUUCGGGAGCGCAGUGACAGGUGGUGCAUGGCUGUCGUCAGCUCGUGUCGUGAGAUGUUGGGUUAAGUCCCGCAACGAGCGCAACCCACGUCGUUAGUUGCCAGCAUUCAGUUGGGCACUCUAGCGAGACCGCCGGUGAUAAACCGGAGGAAGGUGUGGAUGACGUCAAGUCAUCAUGCCCCUUACAUCCUGGGCUACACACGUACUACAAUGCUACGGACAAAGGGCAGCAAACUCGCGAGAGCUAGCAAAUCCCAUAAACCGUGGCUCAGUUCAGAUCGUAGGCUGCAACUCGCCUACGUGAAGGAGGAAUCGCUAGUAAUCGCAGGUCAGCAUACUGCGGUGAAUACGUUCCCGGGCCU